UGAGGAGGAAGAUGAAGACUUUAGAAACACAGUUUCCCACAUGUUAUAUGCUAAAUAAAUCACUGAGAAUGUAUGGCGUUAGUGUCAGAAGAUAAAUGAUUGUUAGUUGUUGUAUGGUCGUUACACCAGACUCCACCCAGGUGCUGCAGUGACCACAACACUGGGGAGGAAACUUGAACUCAUUAUCUGUUGAACUGAGAACAUCUAUAGUCAAAAUUCAAUUACUUCACGUUUUCAAGCACAAACGCUGCUCACUGUUAAAAGAAGACUAAAUGGCGACCUUUUCAAAGCCAGGAGACAUUUCUGCUGCAGCAGCUUUGUCCUCCUGCUCCCCAUCCCCGCUCUCUAUAGCCGCAGCAGUGAAUGCUCGCCCGGCACAGGAGGGUAUCACGCUGUUUCCAUAUUGUAACCCGGAGCCUCCCCACAGCAGUGGCCCACAUGGGAAAGCGAGCCAGGCGGUGGGAUAAACCAAUUACCCCCCAGUCUGGGGUGGACUCCUGCCGGUGCACCAUGCAGCCGCUCCUGGUCCGGGCCCUCCUGGGCUCGUUCUCCAUGAGAGCUCGCUGAAAUUCUCAGAGAUGAGAAUUGUGUGGUCUUAAAAGCCCGCAGAGAGGCUAUAUUUUGCUUAGAAAUUUGACAUGGUGCCCCCCAGGAACAAUACCAGUGGAGGAGGCUUCAAACUGAGACUGGAAUGGAAGAAUGGAAAAAAAGUGAGUGGAAAGCAUGUGGUUUGGUUUUUGUGGAGCCUAUUACUGGAUUAAAAACUGCUUGAUGGUGAAAAUGUCACGUUAGGCGGCAUUAUUAAAAUCAGUCUAAAUGUAGUUUGUCUAAGAAAAAGAACAUGAGACAAUAUUGCAAUUAGAGAUUCAGAAAUAUGAAGAAAUGUAUAAACAUGUGGAGGAAAUGGUUACAAAGAGAAAAUGAGGAUUAAGUGAGGACUCUUCCCUCCACAGACUCCGUGGACUCAUGGGUUCCUGAUGGUUUCUGGAUGACAGCAGUCGUAACAAUGGUCAUUAUGUCGGCCGGGGGCCUUGUCGCUGCGGGGCCAUUGUGUGGGCCCCAUUCAGCACACAGUCAUUUACACUUUCAUUGGCAGCUAUUUAGUCCUCAUAAAAAGUUCAACACACCAAUUUGUGCGUUCUGCUCAGCCAGGGACAAGUGUGGAAAAGGCUUGGAAAGCAGUUGCUUUAAAAGUCAAUUAAUUGUUCCUGGCCGCUGGGAGGGGCCGGAGGGGAGGAUCGCCGGGCUCUGGGGCCUCACAUCUGUCCAUUCGUCUUCUUCAGUCUUGAUGCAGACAGACCACAAGUCAAAAGAAAGGGUCGCUGAGGAACUCAGUUUAUCCGUCGUCUUGGGAAUGCAGAGCUGGAAUCGAACCUGUGCCUUUAAGGUAGAAGAAAAACUCCAUAUCCAACAACCAACCAUUUUAAUACACUGCGGAACUCACUCUGCAUCCUGCUGCUCCUGCCUUCGUCCGUGGCCACACUCCGGUUCCUGAGCACCUCAUAUCUGAAGCUCAUCGUUCGUCUGCUCCACUGUCCGUCACUCUGCAGCGGGCUGGCCUGCAGGUAGAU
Cynoglossus semilaevis (tongue sole) is the source of this 1571-nucleotide long non-coding RNA. RefSeq lists it as uncharacterized. The transcript has 3 exons. The record is from RefSeq and is a predicted model, not a curated record. Lineage: Eukaryota; Metazoa; Chordata; Actinopteri; Pleuronectiformes; Cynoglossidae.